Molecule: ribosomal RNA, 483 nt
Filed under: uncultured bacterium
Lineage: Bacteria
Description: partial 16S ribosomal RNA
Rfam family: Bacterial small subunit ribosomal RNA
Source: RNAcentral
AUUGAACGCUGGCGGCAUGCUUUACACAUGCAAGUCGAACGGCAGCGCGGUCUUCGCCCUGGCGGCGAGUGGCGAACGGGUGAGUAAUGCAUCGGAACGUGCCCAUCUGCUUUUGAUAGCCCGGCGAAAGCCGGAUUAAUACCGCAUAAGACCUGACGGUGAAAGCGGGGGACCGAAAGGCCUUGCGCUAUUGGAGCGGUCGAUGUCGGAUUAGCUAGUUGGUGGGGUAAAGGCUUACCAAGGCGACGAUCCGUAGCUGGUUUGAGAGGACGACCAGCCACACGGGAACGGAGACACGGCCCAGACUCCUACGGGAGGCAGCAGGGGGGAAUUUUGGACAAUGGGGGCAACCCUGAUCCAGCCAGACCGGGGGGGGGAAAAAGGCCUUCGGGUUGUAAACCCCUUUUGUUGGGAAAGAAAACCAUUGGGUUAAUACCCCGGGGGAUGACGGUACCGGAAGAAUAAGCACCGGCUAACUACGUG